AUCACGGAAGACAGCGCGCUUUGUGCUCGAAGACUUGCCGCGUUCGAAGAUAAAGCGUUAUGAAAUGUUAAGAAGAAAGGCGGUCGACCCGAUCAGUUUGUGUUAAAACAGUUGAAGACUUCCUUCGCAAACACGCAUGCAUCAAAUGAAGUUUAUUUCGGAGAAGGGAGUGAACAUAACGCCAUGCUACAAGCUAAAGUGAUCGCGCACCUGUCUGCCAUGAUGUGAUUUCGUUUCGGGGAUUGACCUAGAUUUGAAGAUCGACAUAAUAUAGCUCGCUACAAAGAGAUCUGUGAUUGCCGAAAGGUUGCUGUGUUUUAAAAUACUGCAGGGAAGUUGUUUUUAUAGUACAACAAUGUUCAUCGAAACAUUAGAAUUCACAAUCCCAGUGGAUUUGUGUGAUCUGUUUUCUACGCUGAAACGAGGUCCAAGAUCUAAUCUUGAAUUCCCGGCAUCCGUGAACUCGUACGGCACUACUCAAGAUGCCAGUGUGCAGGUUGUGUUGCGCUCAAACAAAUUGACGUUUAAAGUCGACGGUGUGUCGUCUGAUGCAAGCAUUAUAUCAAAAAGUGAAAGCAAAACAUUAAAAUUGUCAGUGUUUGAUGUUGAUCGGACUUUAAUGCCUCAAGAAAAUGACAAUUACAAUUCCAACAAUAUGACUAUCUCCGAAAUGCACCAUUCAACACCUGUGUUAAAUCAAUUCAAAAGGCAUCACGAAGUGUCAGUGUCACAACCUCCUGCUAAAAGCAUUAGGACUUCUUAUUCUGAGUCUCCAAGACCCAGAUCUCCUGUUCAUCGUCGCUCACAACCUCAUAUCUCUCCACGUCAGUCUCCAAACAUACAGUCAAAAUCUCAACAAAAUGACACGCCAGUGAAUGUGAAACUAGAACCAGAAGAUCCAGAUUUAAUAGAAAUAGAACCUGACGACAUUGUGCCAAAGAAAGAGACUCCAUACAUGCAAAUAGAUUAUUCAUCAGAUGUACCUCAUACGCAAACGUCCCAAGCAGCUCUUGAUCGACUCUCUCAUCCACAAUCAUCACAUUCUCAAUCACCCGGUUCUUCAUCUUCGUCCUUCCAUCAAAACGUUCCACAUGUGCCAGAUUUCGCCGAACCCAGUACUAGUCAAGCAAGAUAUGGUGACCAAAGUGCAGAUGACUUUUUAGUAUUCCAAGAUGAAAACGAUGACGGCGAUGAUAACGAAGCAGAUUACAGCAAUGACGAUGUUCAUGGUUUGGCUCGAGAGACACUCCUCCAAGGAGCAAACCGUAGCAAGCUAAGACAAACAGAGGCCUCUAAGAAAUGCUUUCCUUGUCCAAAAUGUACCAAAGUGUUUGCUUUUAGCAGUGCAAGACAGAGACAUGUGAAUGCCAUACAUGAAAAUAUGGUUUACAGCUGUGUGUGUGGGAAACAGUACAAUUACCAACAGAGUUAUGGCCGCCACAGAAAGACUUGUCCCAUGGCAUCAAAUCCUUAUACUAACUUCUCCAUGUCGAAUAUUCACCUCCUACAAAAGAAAUAAUGACAUCACAGACUAUUUCUGAAUGGUUUGAAUUCAGAUUCUCUUUAUUUAUCAGUGCUGUUCAGAUGUACAUGGUUUGGCUCGAGAGACUAUCUUCCAAGGAGCAAACUGUAGCAAGCUAAUACAAACAGAGGCCUCUAAGAAAUGCUUCCCUUGUUCAAAAUGUAACAAAGUGUUUGCUUUUAGUGGGACAAGACGAAGACAUGUGAAAGCAAAACAUGAACAUUUUAUUCAUAGGUGUGUGUGUGGGAAACAGUACAAUUACCAACAGAGUUAUGGCCGCCACAGAAAGACUUGUCCCAUGGCAUCACUUCAAACAAACCCUUGUACAAACGUCUCCUUGUCAGAUGUAGAACUCUUACAGAAAAAAUAAUGACCUCACUGUUGAAAGAACUUUUCCCUCACUAAUUUUUCAGUGUGUUUGAAUUCAGAUUCUCUCAAGUGUAUCAUUGUAUGAAGUGAGCUGGAUUUGUUCUGCUUUGAACAGUUUCAUUAAUAUCCCCGUGGGUCAGUUUGGUUUUGCAAACAAGUUCAAAGUGGCACAGGUUGUGGACACUUCCAUUUUAAAACCCACUGUGUGAUGUUGACAUUCCUUGGUUCAGAGUGUGGAAAUUGAAGACAUGACAAGAUGUUACUGGCUUCGCAAAGGGACACAACUCAGCACAGAGAUUUGAGGUUGUUGAGAUCAUUGAGCUAGCAUGCCACUGAAGUGAACGUAAUACUCAGUGCCAUUGAUAUGAAAUGUACAAUAGCUGAUAUAAUGCAACAAAUAUAAACAGUUCAUUAUAGUCGUAUUCCUAAAUGUUAUCCAAAGGAAUAUGGUUGCAGCUUCAUAUGUUAUUUUAUGAUAUAUUACAAUAUUAUGGUAUCACUACAGUUCUUCUCAGCAAACAUUCUACAAGUGAACACCAAUAGGCAAACAAUAGAAAAGUGAGACUUCUUUGUUAACAGCAAGGAUACCCACAUGGGCACAAUGUGUGAAACCCAUUUCUGGUGUCCAUUGCCAUGAUGUUGCUGGAAUAUUGCUCUAAGUGGCGUAAAACCAUACUCAAGGCAAGCAAACUUUCAAUAUUCAGGGGUCACUCUGAAGCACUGAGAUUCCAACAGACUAAUCAGCACUGACCCUGCCUGGUGCUUAAAAGGACGCUUAGUACUUGUGUUUCAGUCACAUGCUUCAUCAGUACUGGACAGAUCAUGAUUGGCUUCUUUUGUUUGUUUGUUUGUUGUUUUACGCCGCAUUCAGCAAUAUUCCAGCUAUAUGACGGCGGAAAUAAUCGAGUCUGGACCAGACAAUCCAGUGAUUAACAUCAUGAGCAUCGAUCCACGCAAUUGGAACAUAUCCCUAAGCUUGUCCAGACUGAUACUUUCUUGCACACACAUCCCAAAGACACCAUGCCCAUACAGAUUGUGUGGCUGCUUUUUUCGUCAGUUAUUUCAUCCAUGUUACAGCUUUCUCUGGUUGAGGCAUACUAUCUUUGUGGUCUAAUGGAUAAUGGUUGUCCUGGAGAGCGGCAAGUCCGUGGUUCGAUCCCCAGCUGCGUCAUACCAAAAGACGUUAAAAGAUGGUAUUUGUUCUUACCCUGCCUGGCUUUCGGCAUUGAGGGGCAAAGAUAAAGUCUGGUUGGAUCGGAGUCUGUAUAAUGCACAAAUAUUGACUGUUGCUACGAAGGUAGUUCAUUGUAUAAGAUGCUUUUUAUGUUGAAGUUAUUUGAGGCUGCUGAGGCUUGUGGGAAAUAGCCCAGCUGCAUUUGAGACUAUCUUGCCUAAAAAGUUACCAGCCGGUUUCAGAUCUCACAGGCUGAAUAUUUGACAAUUUAUUUUUCAUCCCCCGUACUGUUUGGCAUUUGUCCUCAGUCAACAUUUGUUAAGUUACACACCUUUUGAUUAGUUGUAAUUCAUUGUUCAUCAAAUCAUGUUUGCCAUGAUUUACUGUGACAACAGUCACUCUAACAAGAUGAAGGGGGAUAACUCUGAUCUUGCAACCUUAUUUUGUUUUGAUCGUGUAGAUUGAAAUGAGGAUAAAUAUAUCAUGUUCAGCUUCGUAAAAUAUUUGUGUUGCUUGUAGAGGCUUAGAGACUCUGUUUUUCUAUA
RNAcentral lists this unclassified non-coding RNA (3610 nucleotides) under Haliotis rufescens (red abalone). Its description in RNAcentral is "zinc finger E-box-binding homeobox 1-like, transcript variant X2". The record is from RNAcentral. Lineage: Eukaryota; Metazoa; Mollusca; Gastropoda; Lepetellida; Haliotidae.